Lagopus muta (rock ptarmigan) is the source of this 1207-nucleotide long non-coding RNA. RefSeq lists it as uncharacterized. The transcript is spliced from 3 exons. The record is from RefSeq and is a predicted model, not a curated record. Lineage: Eukaryota; Metazoa; Chordata; Aves; Galliformes; Phasianidae.
CCUAAUGCUGGUAAAGCUGUCCCACCUGGCUUCCUAAGGAAACUGGUUCUUUCUUUCUCAGCUCCUCCCUAAUUGUGGACUGGAGGAACUAAUUACCCUGAAACAAGGAUUUGGAGUGCUGUGGGGGGUUUUCCACUGCCUUGAAUGAGAGCGGGAUUGAACACUUUGUGACAGAUUAAAAAGGCUAUGUACUCAUUUGAACUAAAAUUACCCGGCUGCCAGCCUGCUUGAUAGCAAUUACAUCUAAAGAGAGAAAACCACUGAACUUCAUGUAUUGGUGUCAGAGCAGGCUGAGGGAGGCAACAUGGGGCACGGCCAUAAGUGGGCCAUGGGCUGUGAUGUCCCACUGCAGGGCAGGGAUCCUCUACCAGCAGGGGGCUGCAGAGCCAAAAAAGCCUCAAAUCCACCUUCCUACCCCGCUGAGUGCUCUGCAAUAUGUGCGAUUUCAGUCAUUCCUGGCACUCGGCUCUUCUGUUAUUCGUUCUGCAAUUUUGAACUGCCUUAAAAGGAGACGCCUUCGAUUUGGUUCAGAUAUGUAAUUCGUGCUUUGUCGACAGGUUUGUUUCUCUUACAGCGUGCCAUCACAUAACUAUCCUCAGAAAUGUUUGAUUUUUUUUUUUUUUUUUAAUGCCAAUAACAGAUCUGGGAUGUGUGUAGCUAUAUACAUACACAGUAAAUACGAAAAUCAGGUCCAUGAUCGUACUGGCUACAUGCACACCUCAUAGUUACCAGUGCUUUAAAAAAAGCCAGUACAAAGCUUUCUGUGAUUACAGCUUGCUUUAAACAAUAUAGCCCUUUAAUGAUAAAAUAAUAAAUAAUGUAUCUAAAUAAAUAAAAAGCGAAAUACUUUUAUUAGGUUGUUGAUAAUGUCAGCCUGAUAAAAGAAUCUGGAGUCAGGUGUCGAUGAAACAGUGUUUUGAAUUCUCCUUUACCUGCGUGGCAUUUCAAAAUGCCCAGUGUCAAGCCUGGAUAUUAUGAUAUAUGUUUCUUAUUUAGUAUUACAGUUCUUAGAGCUUCUGUGCUUUGUUAUUUGAUACCUUGGCUGUUUGCUUAAACUCUGUAUGCAAAUGCAGAGCUCAAAUACAAAGCUGGAGUGUUAAGAUUAAAGGAGAACUAGGAUUCCAAGAUUAAAAAGUGAGAUGAAUGUUUCCUGUAAAUAUGUGUCAUUAGUCUGAUUCUAAAAGGAUGUUUAGCAAUGAUGAGGAAA